RNAcentral lists this non-coding RNA (87 nucleotides) under Candidatus Brocadia. RNAcentral describes it as "c-di-GMP sequence". It matches the Rfam family "c-di-GMP-I riboswitch aptamer". Rfam says of the family: GEMM was predicted in a large-scale screen for bacterial structured RNA regulatory elements. Genes associated with GEMM are involved in a diverse array of functions, including chemotaxis regulation, signal transduction, secretion and chitin. Lineage: Bacteria; Pseudomonadati; Planctomycetota; Candidatus Brocadiia; Candidatus Brocadiales; Candidatus Brocadiaceae. The record is from RNAcentral. RNAcentral also lists the same sequence under 1 other name.
AACCGAAAAAGGCAAACCAUUCGAAAGGAUGGGACGCAAAGCUACUGGCCUAAAUCCUGUUUAGGACAUGGUCGCAGGGUUGCCGGA